AGUGAACGCUGGCGGUAGGCCUAACACAUGCAAGUCGAACGGCAGCACAGUAAGAGCUUGCUCUUACGGGUGGCGAGUGGCGGACGGGUGAGGAAUACAUCGGAAUCUACUUUUUCGUGGGGGAUAACGUAGGGAAACUUACGCUAAUACCGCAUACGCCCUACGGGUGAAAGCAGGGGAUCUUCGGACCUUGCGCGAUUGAAUGAGCCGAUGUCGGAUUAGCUAGUUGGCGGGGUACAGGCCCACCAAGGCGACGAUCCGUAGCUGGUCUGAGAGGAUGAUCAGCCACACUGGAACUGAGACACGGUCCAGACUCCUACGGGAGGCAGCAGUGGGGAAUAUUGGACAAUGGGCGCAAGCCUGAUCCAGCCAUACCGCGUGGGUGAAGAAGGCCUUCGGGUUGUAAAGCCCUUUUGUUGGGAAAGAAAAGCAGCAGGUUAAUACCCCGCUGUUCUGACGGUACCCAAAGAAUAAGCACCGGCUAACUUCGUG
Molecule: ribosomal RNA, 492 nt
Filed under: uncultured bacterium
Lineage: Bacteria
Description: partial 16S ribosomal RNA
Rfam family: Bacterial small subunit ribosomal RNA
Source: RNAcentral